CCUUCGUGAACAAGCCCCAUAGUACAUUGUAUAGAAAGGGACAAACCUCCCUGCUGAAACUAGUGGAAGACGCUGCCCUUUAAAGUUUAUGAAAAGGUGACUCCUUCGUGAACAAGCCCCAUAGUACAUUGUAUAGAAAGGGACAAACCUCCCUGCUGAAACUAGUGGAAGACGCUGCCCUUUAAAGUUUAUGAAAAGGUGACUCCUUCGUGAACAAGCCCCAUAGUACAUUGUAUAGAAAGGGACAAACCUCCCUGCUGAAACUAGUGGAAGACGCUGCCCUUUAAAGUUUAUGAAAAGGUGACUCCUUCGUGAACAAGCCCCAUAGUACAUUGUAUAGAAAGGGACAAACCUCCCUGCUGAAACUAGUGGAAGACGCUGCCCUUUAAAGUUUAUGAAAAGGUGACUCCUUCGUGAACAAGCCCCA
This is a long non-coding RNA of Protopterus annectens (West African lungfish), 427 nucleotides long. RefSeq lists it as uncharacterized. NCBI's taxonomy places the organism in Eukaryota, Metazoa, Chordata, Ceratodontiformes, Protopteridae. The record is from RefSeq and is a predicted model, not a curated record. The transcript is spliced from 5 exons.